This 876-nucleotide long non-coding RNA is filed under the name Triticum aestivum (bread wheat). RNAcentral's name for it is "long non-coding RNA (TAES_LNC001335)". Lineage: Eukaryota; Viridiplantae; Streptophyta; Magnoliopsida; Poales; Poaceae. The record is from RNAcentral.
UAAAGUUUAAAUUAAAGUUUCAGUUAAAAUGGAGAGAAGAUGGAGAGAAACUGCAGUAAGUACUGUUGGAGUACUCACUAACUACUGUAAGAUGAGUACAGUACAGUACUGCCGCAAGAGGAGUACAAUACUCCAUUAACUCAUUGCAAAUUUAACCAAAAACUAUAGUAGCACAGAUGUUGGUGAGGAAACAACAAUACUAUUGCAAAAGGAGUAGUAAAAUCAGUCCUACGCUUAACCCUACUAAGCUCACAUAUGUUGGAGUACAGUAGAAAGAGCCUCACUUAAUUCCAAACAAGACUACAAAACAUGCAAUUCCACAUCGGACACACAGAUGAUACUCCUCCGAAUGAAUGACUGAAGCAGCAGGUGUCGGGCACCAUGAGCACGGCGUCAGCGUCGGGCACCACAAGCACCACUGUCAGCGUCACCCUGCAAGCACAACAGAGGACUGGAACUCUGAAUCGGACGACAACUGAAGCAAAACAAUCAACCAUCGAUAGUAAACCUCUGAAGAAAUGUUGGAUUGUUGUUGCUGCUUGGUUGAUUACAGAGAGCUCGAUAGGAAAUUAAGGCCUCACAUUUGACAUUAGCAUCCGUAACAUUUGCUAGCACUGCUCCUAGCAGUACACAAGAUCACAAGAAUCUCCAUUUGCUAGCACUACUCCUAGCACUACUCCAAAAAUCUGACAUUAAGUUUUCACGGAGAAGAGACAGGAAGAGGAAGAGAGAGAAAUACCUCAAGGAGUCAUCAUCCAUGGAUGCACAGCCGGGCCACCACGUCCAUCCUCUCACCACCUGACGCAACAACUCCUCCUCAAGGAGUCACUCAUGGAGGCCGCACGCGAGGAGGACGGCAGUGGCCGCGGCGACGAC